Molecule: ribosomal RNA, 348 nt
Filed under: Isocapnia hyalita
Lineage: Eukaryota; Metazoa; Arthropoda; Insecta; Plecoptera; Capniidae
Description: partial 12S ribosomal RNA
Rfam family: Microsporidia small subunit ribosomal RNA
Source: RNAcentral
UAAUAGUUAUGUUCUUGAAACUCAAAGAAUUUGGCGGUGUUUUAGUCUUUUCAGAGGAACCUGUCCCGUAAUCGAUAAUCCACGUAGAACCUUGCUUAACUUAGUUUCAGCUUGUAUACCUCCGUCGUCAGAAUAUCCUUGUAAGGCUCAAAUUUUCUUAAAUUUUUAUUAAAAAUGAUGUCAGGUCAAGGUGCAGCUUAUGGUUAAGUGGAGAUGGGUUACAAUAAAUAUAUUUAAUACGGAUAAUGACUUGAAAUAGUUGUUUGAAGGUGGAUUUGAUAGUAAUUCAAUUUAUUAAGAUAGUUUGAUUUUAGCUCUAAAACAUGCACACAUCGCCCGUCGCUCUUA